This 65-nucleotide transfer RNA is filed under the name Paracarsidara gigantea. Its description in RNAcentral is "tRNA-Arg". The record is from RNAcentral. Lineage: Eukaryota; Metazoa; Arthropoda; Insecta; Hemiptera; Carsidaridae.
CAAAUAGAGAAGUAAAUAUAAAUACAAAUAGUUUCGGCCUAUUAAUAGAGAAAAUCUCCCUAUUU